AGCGGCAGACGGGUGAGUAACGCGUGGGAAUCUACCUUGAGCUACGGGAUAACAGAGAGAAAUUUCUGCUAAUACCGUAUGUGGCCUUUGGGCGAAAGAUUUAUCGGCUUAAGAUGAGCCCGCGUUGGAUUAGCUGGUUGGUGGGGUAAAGGCCUACCAAGGCGACGAUCCAUAGCUGGUCUGAGAGGAUGAUCAGCCACACUGGGACUGAGACACGGCCCAGACUCCUACGGGAGGCAGCAGUGGGGAAUAUUGGACAAUGGGCGCAAGCCUGAUCCAGCCAUGCCGCGUGAGUGAAGAAGGCCUUAGGGUUGUAAAGCUCUUUCACCGGUGAAGAUAAUGACGGUAGCCGGAGAAGAAGCCCCGGCUAACUUCGUGCCAGCAGCCGCGGUAAUACGAAGGGGGCUAGCGUUGUUCGGAUUUACUGGGCGUAAAGCGCGCGUAGGCGGAUAGAUAAGUCAGAGGUGAAAUCCCGGGGCUCAACCCCGGAAUUGCCUUUGAUACUGUUUAUCUUGAGUGCAGAAGAGGUAAGUGGAAUUCCGAGUGUAGAGGUGAAAUUCGUAGAUAUUCGGAGGAACACCAGUGGCGAAGGCGGCUUACUGGUCUGCAACU
Molecule: ribosomal RNA, 612 nt
Filed under: uncultured Hyphomicrobiales bacterium
Lineage: Bacteria; Pseudomonadati; Pseudomonadota; Alphaproteobacteria; Hyphomicrobiales
Description: bacterial SSU rRNA
Rfam family: Bacterial small subunit ribosomal RNA
Source: RNAcentral